UUGACUUAAUACUUUUCAAAAGCCAAAAAGAAAUAACUCAUUCAAACCAUUUUUAGGCCUUGGUGACUAUCAAAGUUAAUUUUUUGUUAAAAUCAAUGCAUCCACAUUGGAAUUUAUAUUACGAACUCCGAGGUUUUGAUCCCUCAUUUUUAUGUUGGUACGUAGGCACAAGUCUAAAGGUCUUGUCAAACACAAAAAAUAUAAUUAAGGAAUUCUCUU
RNAcentral lists this long non-coding RNA (219 nucleotides) under Lathyrus oleraceus (garden pea). Its description in RNAcentral is "Pisum sativum (pea) long non-coding RNA (PSAT_LNC033193)". Lineage: Eukaryota; Viridiplantae; Streptophyta; Magnoliopsida; Fabales; Fabaceae. The record is from RNAcentral.